CUAUUCUCUUGGUGUUGAGCUCUAAGGCGACCGAAUUACCAUGACUGGGCCACCGUGAUCCUCGCCGGCACACGCCACAACUUCGCAGGUCACGCGGGGCUAGCCGGCGUCCGGUUUUUCGUCACAUGUGAUCCGUCUAAUGUGCGCUAGAUCUUCACGUCCAACUUCCUCAACUACCCCAAGGGCGAGGAAUUUGCGGAGAUCUUCGACGUCCUGGGCCACGGUAUCUUCAACGCCGACGGCGAGUCUUGGCGGCGGCAGUGUGCCAAGUCCCAGCUCCUGAUGGCCGGCCCCCGUUUCCGCUCUUUCUCGGCACGGUGCAGCCGUGACAAGGUGGAGAAGAGCCUCCUUCCAUUCCUGGCGCACGCUGCUGACGCCGGCGCCCGCUGUGACCUACACGACGUGUUCCUAAGGCUGACCUUUGACCUGACCUGCAACCUCGUCUUCGGGGUCGAUCCCUGCUGCCUGCAGAUCGGCCUCCCCGCUGUGCCCUUCGCUCACGCCAUGGACGACGUGCUGGAGACAGUCAUCCUCCCACCGGCGUGCUGGAGGCUCAUGUACCGGUAUGAGGUCGGCCCAGAGAAGAAGAUGGCCGUGGCUCGUAGUACCAUCGACCGAUUCACCGUAGACAUGAUCGCCAAACGCAGAUCCGAUCUCAAGCUCCACGUCGAGGACAUCCGCGAAUCCCCCGACAUGCUAUCCUUUAUAUGCGACGGUGACGCAAGCGACGAGUUCUUGCGUGACACUGCAGUGAACCUCCUGCUCGCAGGCCGGGACACCACCAGCACGGCGCUGUCGUGGUUCUUCUACCUCCUAUGCAAGAACCCGCGCGUGGAGCUGAGUAUCCGGGAUGAGCUGGCGCCGAUCGCAGCCACAAAGAUGGUGGCCGCGGCCAACGACAUGGUGGUGUUCGACAUGACCGAGCUGAGCAACAUGGUGUACCUGCACGCGGCGCUGUGUGAGUGCCUGAGGCUUUACCCGCCCGUGCCCUUCCAGCACAAGGUGGCAACGCACAGUGACGUGCUCCCAAGCGGCCACCAGAUGAAGGCCGGCGACAAGAUACUCGUCUACUCCUACUCCAUGGGGAGGAUGGAUGGCGUGGGGGGCAAGGACUGCAUGGAGUUCAGGCCGGAGAGGUGGAUCGCCGAUGACGGAAAGCUGAGGUACGAGCCGUCUUACAAGUUCGUCGCCUUUAACGCAGAUCCCAGGACCUGUCUCGGCAGGGAAGUGGCCUUCACGCAGAUGAAGGUCGUCGUCGCCGCCAGGCUGAGGCCGUGCCGGGGCACGUCGUCGAACCAAAGCUGUCCAUCAUACUCCACAUGA
Molecule: ribosomal RNA, 1323 nt
Filed under: Triticum aestivum (bread wheat)
Lineage: Eukaryota; Viridiplantae; Streptophyta; Magnoliopsida; Poales; Poaceae
Description: partial small subunit ribosomal RNA
Source: RNAcentral